Molecule: ribosomal RNA, 804 nt
Filed under: uncultured archaeon
Lineage: Archaea
Description: bacterial SSU rRNA
Rfam family: Archaeal small subunit ribosomal RNA
Source: RNAcentral
AAUCUGUGGGGUAAUCCACCCGCUUCACGGGUUGAAUUCUGCAGAAGACUGCCAGACUAGGGACCGGGAGAGGUGUGGGGUACUCGAGGGGUAGAGGUAAAAUUCUGUCAUCCUUCGAGGACCACCAGUUGCGAAGGCGCCACACUGGAACGGAUUCGACGGUCAGGGACGAAGCCUAGGAGCACGAACCGGAUUAGAUACCCGGGUAGUCCUAGGUGUAAACGCUGUGAACUUGGUGUCGGGGAUCCGUAAGGGGUCCCCGGUGCCGGAGUGAAGAUGUUAAGUUCACUGCCUGGGGAGUACGGUCGCAAGGCUGAAACUUAAAGGAAUUGGCGGGGGAGCACUGCAACGGGAGGAGCGUGCGGUUUAAUUGGAUUCAACGCCGGAAAACUCACCAGGGCCGACUGUUAUAUGAAGACCAGCGUAACGAGCUUGUCGGAUUUUCAGAGAGGUGGUGCAUGGCCGUCGUCAGUUCGUACUGUAAAGCGUUCUGUUAAGUCAGAUAACGAACGAGACCCUCAUCUCUAUUUGCUAACUGUCUCUCCGAAGGCGGUGCACUAUAGAGAGACCGCUGGUGUGAAACCAGAGGAAGGCGAGGGCAACGACAGGUCAGUAUGCCCCGAAUGUCCUGGGCUACACGCGCGCUACAAAGGACGGGACAAUGGGAGGCUAGGCCGAGAGGCCACGCUAACCCGAAACCCGUUCAUAGUUCGGAUUGAGGGCUGUAACUCGCCCUCAUGAAGCUGGAUUCCGUAGUAAUCGUGUUUNCAUAUAGCACGGUGAAUAUGUCCCUGCUCCUUGCAC